RNAcentral lists this transfer RNA (74 nucleotides) under Sphaerodactylus townsendi. RNAcentral's name for it is "tRNA-Ala". The record is from RNAcentral. Lineage: Eukaryota; Metazoa; Chordata; Lepidosauria; Squamata; Sphaerodactylidae.
GGAGGGCCUACAGCUCAGUGGCAAAGCAUCUGCUUGGCAUGCCUAAAUUCCAGGUUCCAUCCCUGGCAUCUCCA